This 369-nucleotide ribosomal RNA is filed under the name uncultured bacterium. Its description in RNAcentral is "bacterial SSU rRNA". It matches the Rfam family "Bacterial small subunit ribosomal RNA", at positions 28 to 402 of the family's 1533-position model. The record is from RNAcentral.
GACGAACGCUGGCGGCGUGCUUAACACAUGCAAGUCGAGCGGAAAGGCCCUUCGGGGUACUCGAGCGGCGAACGGGUGAGUAACACGUGAGUAACCUGCCCUUGGCUCUGGGAUAGCUCCGGGAAACCGGAAUUAAUACCGGAUAUGACCUCGGCCGACAUCGGCUGUGGUGGAAAGAUUUAUCGGCCAGGGAUGGGCUCGCGGCCUAUCAGCUAGUUGGUGGGGUAACGGCCUACCAAGGCGACGACGGGUAGCCGGCCUGAGAGGGCGACCGGCCACACUGGGACUGAGACACGGCCCAGACUCCUACGGGAGGCAGCAGUGGGAAUAUUGCGCAAUGGGCGAAAGCCUGACGCAGCGACGCCGCGU